This 218-nucleotide ribosomal RNA is filed under the name uncultured bacterium. Its description in RNAcentral is "partial 16S ribosomal RNA". It matches the Rfam family "Bacterial small subunit ribosomal RNA", at positions 524 to 740 of the family's 1533-position model. The record is from RNAcentral.
GACAGAGGUGCCGAGCGUUAGGCGGAAUCACUGGGCUUAAAGCGUGUGUAGGCGGCGGCGUAAGUACCUUGUGAAAUCCCACGGCUCAACCGUGGAACUGCUCGGUAUACUGCGUCGCUUGAGCCAGCUAGGGGCGACCGGAACAAACGGUGGAGCGGUGAAAUGACGUAGAUAUCGUUUGGAACGCCGAUGGUGAAAACAGGUCGCUGGGGCUGUGC